GAGACAUGAUAUCCGUCGAAAAACAUAAACGCAAUGUUUCCACCAGUGAUGUUAGCCGAAUGAAGCAACUGCAAACCAAGAAACGGGGUGCUACGGAGUAGUUUACUGUAGGCGGCUGUACGAGGCAAUGACAACAGACAUGCAUUCUGACGACCAUGGUGUAGUGG
Long non-coding RNA from Haliotis rubra (blacklip abalone), 167 nucleotides. RefSeq lists it as uncharacterized. The record is from RefSeq and is a predicted model, not a curated record. The transcript is spliced from 3 exons. Lineage: Eukaryota; Metazoa; Mollusca; Gastropoda; Lepetellida; Haliotidae.